UAGCCUAACGGCUGAACCAGCAACUUGGAGGAAUGGAUAGCGAAAGCUAAUUGUACUAAUGGUACAAUAACGAUUUAAUCGUAUAAAAUUCUGGGUAGAAUUAUGAUAAUGACAUUGUUUACCUAUAUAUCUUGACCAAAUUACGUGCCAGCAGUCGCGGUAAUACGUAGAAGAUUAGUGUUAUUCAUCUUUAAUAGGUUUAAAGGGUACCUAGACAGCAAAUCAAGCCUUCAAAAGGGACUAGUUUGCUAGAGUUACUUGUGAGGGGGCAUAAAAGUACUAUCGGUGUAGAGAUAAAAUUCGUUGAUACCCCUUUUCGUAUGAAAAUUAAUGGCACAGAUUUAGGCAAAAGCAUCCCCUUAUGUGAUAGCUUUGUGUAGCGAACAGGAUUAGAUACCCCAAUAGUCGAAGCAGAAAAUGAUGAGUGUCAUAGAUUAGAUUUAAGUUUAUUCUAUAAAUGAAAGUGUAAGCACUCCACCUCAAGAGUAAUUUGGCAACAUUGGAACUGAAAUCAUUAGACCGUUUCUGAAACCAGUAGUGAAGUAUGUUGUUUAAUUAGAUAACACGCAAAAAACCUUACCACAAUUUGAAUAUUUACAAGCGUUGCAUGGUUGUCUUCAGUUAAUGUCGUGAGACUAUGGUUAGUUCCAUUAAUUAACGUAAACCCUUGCUUUAUUUUUAUAUAAGGUUGUCCCCCGCUACAUU
RNAcentral lists this ribosomal RNA (705 nucleotides) under Puttea margaritella. Its description in RNAcentral is "SSU rRNA". It matches the Rfam family "Bacterial small subunit ribosomal RNA", at positions 372 to 1162 of the family's 1533-position model. The record is from RNAcentral. Lineage: Eukaryota; Fungi; Ascomycota; Lecanoromycetes; Lecanorales.